ACGGCGUCGAGCGGCGGACGGGUGAGUAAUGCCUAGGAAAUUGCCCUGAUGUGGGGGAUAACCAUUGGAAACGAUGGCUAAUACCGCAUGAUGCCUACGGGCCAAAGAGGGGGACCUUCGGGCCUCUCGCGUCAGGAUAUGCCUAGGUGGGAUUAGCUAGUUGGUGAGGUAAGGGCUCACCAAGGCGACGAUCCCUAGCUGGUCUGAGAGGAUGAUCAGCCACACUGGAACUGAGACACGGUCCAGACUCCUACGGGAGGCAGCAGUGGGGAAUAUUGCACAAUGGGCGCAAGCCUGAUGCAGCCAUGCCGCGUGUGUGAAGAAGGCCUUCGGGUUGUAAAGCACUUUCAGUCGUGAGGAAGGUGGUGUAGUUAAUAGCUGCAUUAUUUGACGUUAGCGACAGAAGAAGCACCGGCUAACUCCGUGCCAGCAGCCGCGGUAAUACGGAGGGUGCGAGCGUUAAUCGGAAUUACUGGGCGUAAAGCGCAUGCAGGUGGUUUGUUAAGUCAGAUGUGAAAGCCCGGGGCUCAACCUCGGAAUAGCAUUUGAAACUGGCAGACUAGAGUACUGUAGAGGGGGGUAGAAUUUCAGGUGUAGCGGUGAAAUGCGUAGAGAUCUGAAGGAAUACCGGUGGCGAAGGCGGCCCCCUGGACAGAUACUGACACCUCAGAUGCAU
RNAcentral lists this ribosomal RNA (676 nucleotides) under Vibrio vulnificus. RNAcentral's name for it is "bacterial SSU rRNA". It matches the Rfam family "Bacterial small subunit ribosomal RNA", at positions 85 to 756 of the family's 1533-position model. The record is from RNAcentral. Lineage: Bacteria; Pseudomonadati; Pseudomonadota; Gammaproteobacteria; Vibrionales; Vibrionaceae.